Molecule: ribosomal RNA, 245 nt
Filed under: uncultured bacterium
Lineage: Bacteria
Description: partial 16S ribosomal RNA
Rfam family: Bacterial small subunit ribosomal RNA
Source: RNAcentral
UACGUAGGCAGCAAGCGUUGUUCGGAAUUACUGGGCGUAAAGAGUGUGUAGGCGGUGCUCUAAGUCUGUCGUGAAAUCUCCCGGCUCAACUGGGAGGGUGCGGCGGAAACUGGAGUGCUCGAGGAUGGGAGAGGUAAGCGGAAUUCCUGGUGUAGCGGUGAAAUGCGUAGAUAUCAGGAGGAACACCUGUGGUGUAGACAGCUUACUGGACCAUUUCUGACGCUGAGACACGAAAGCGUGGGUAG